ACAGCUAUUUUGAAGACCUACUUUCUAAAAUUAUAUUCAGGAUUAAGCAGCUGUAACAUUGCCAUUCGUCACUGAGGCUCCUGGUUUCAGCAUGUCUCCUUGGUUCCUGGCCAGUCUUGGGUGUUCAGAUGACUUUCUCCAUGCCACGGGAAACAUGGCUCCUAGCAACCUGGGUCUCUCAUCUCAUCCUAGCAGUUCUUCUACCAGCAAAGAAAGAGGAUUUCUUCCUCUUUGGCUCCAGUAUGAAAACAAUCCCAAGAAUGACUUGCAUUGGAUCAAUUUAGGUCACAUACUCCUCUCCAAACCAAUCGCCAAGCCAGGAAGAUGGGAUAAUAUGAAUGGUUCAAUCAAGAGCACAUGUCCACCCUUGUCAUUAGAAUGUUUUUUUUUUUUUUUUUCCUAUGGA
Ceratotherium simum simum (southern white rhinoceros) is the source of this 406-nucleotide non-coding RNA. The record is from RefSeq and is a predicted model, not a curated record. Lineage: Eukaryota; Metazoa; Chordata; Mammalia; Perissodactyla; Rhinocerotidae.